GUGUCUACUUGAUCCUAACCAUUCAUUCUCUUAUAAAUAGAACCAUGGUGGAAGAUGCAAUACUCAUUAAGCUUCACUCACUCACACACCUACAACCAAGAGAGAAAAUUGUGAGAUUUGUGUAGUUUUGUGUGGUUCAAGACUUGAAGUGUGUGCUAAGAAGUAUUUUGGAAAGAAGUUUAAAGGAACUACACGAAGAAGAGUUUACUGAUGCAGAUCUAGAAGAGGAAGGCAUGGACUCAUAUGCCAGUUUUAAUGGUUUUUGAAACCAUUACUGAAGUAAUAUGUGCUAGCUUAGAAAUUGCUAGGCAUAUUUAUGUGUGCUUUAUUUCAAGGUUUGUAAUAAU
This is a long non-coding RNA of Alnus glutinosa, 347 nucleotides long. RefSeq lists it as uncharacterized. Lineage: Eukaryota; Viridiplantae; Streptophyta; Magnoliopsida; Fagales; Betulaceae. The record is from RefSeq and is a predicted model, not a curated record. The transcript has 3 exons.